GUCUGGACUUCAUGGACUUCUUGAUUAAAUAAUUUAGAUUUUAUACAAUUUUAGCUUGUUACCAAAAGAAUGGAAAGUACAGUAUUAAAACCACUGGUGAACAUGUACUGUACAUGUAGGUGUGAAUGUCCUGCAAAAAGAACUGAUAUCAAAGUAUGUUCAUCUGCAGAAUUGCAGUAAAAAUAUAAAUAAUUUGAUGCACUCUGUUCUCAAGUAUAAUUGUACAUGUACACUUGCUUAUUUUUCUCUCUUUCCAAUGUCAAGUAUGCUUCAAGGCAUCCUUACCCUGAUCCCCUCCUGCUCCAUACACACACACUCAGAAGUUCAAAUAAUCAGCAUUUAUAUUAUAUUACAAACCUACCUAGUCAGACUGGCCUAUACAAUGUAUAUUAUGAAUUGACAAGUUGUUCUUGUUUUGAAUACAUAAAAUAUUUGCCACUGGACAUAGUUUCCGUACAAUAACUUUAGUUUAAGUAAAUGGAUAUCUAUCUCUAUGAAAUUUAAAUACAAGGUUUGAACCCACACAAGGAAGAUUGGGAUUGAUUUUGGGGUUAUGGUCCCAACAGUUUAGGAACAAGGAGCCCAAAAGGGGUCAAAAUAAGUAUUUUCCUAGGUUCCAGACAAUUACUUGUGUAUAAGUGUAUGGAUCUUUCUGAAAUUGUACCACAAGGACUUGAAGGUUCCAUACCAAAAAAAAAAGGUUGGGAUUGAUUUUUUGGGGGUUAUCAAUGGUUAUGGCACAAACUGUUUAUGAAUUAGGGGCCAAAAACAAUACUUCUCUAAUACUUUGUAUAAGUUGCUUAUUUCUAGACCAAUUUCAAUGGGGUUUUAUUCUUGAAUUCUUGGGGUUCUUUAAUAUGCUGAAUCAAACCCUGUAUUAAGUUUUUUUUAAUUUGGUCCCCGUUUUUAUACGACCGCAAAAUGUUUGCGUUCUUAUAUUGGUAUCACGUUGUCGGCUAUAUAAAAUGUACAAUAUACAAUGCAAUAUUCACUUAACUACCAACUGAUAAAUUAAAGCAAUCUUCACCAUUCAGUGAUUACAAGCACUCUGAUUACCAUUCUAGGGUUAUGCCCCUUUACAAGUGGAAAAAUUGAAGAAUUUUUUAGUUUCUGUUCUCUUAACUUUAAGUUUGUCUCAACUAAAUUUAAUGAAAUGUGUAUAUAAUGCUUAUUACCUCUAAACUCAGUUUAAGUUCAAUUUUUGGCAUCUUCACUUUUACAGUUCUUGAGUUAUGUCCCUUUAUAACGUUAUAUGCUAGCGGGGGCAUCAUCUGUGUCCUUUUGGACACAUUCCCCAUUUAUUUUUUUAGAAGUUACUAUUAAUUCUAACCAUGACUGUAUGACAUUUUAUAUUUUAAUAUUUUAUGAUGUAUUUAAAUGAGUAGUUAUUGUUGCAAACUCCAUUAGAAUUUUGAAUUGAGAUCAUUUUUGGAAUAAGAGAAAGGGGGACGUGGAAAUAAAAUUGGGGUGGGGGUCAAUUUUUUUUUCUCAUUUUAGAUUUCAGAAUUUAAAAAGAAAAUUUCUUCAAAUAUUUUUUUUUUGAGAGGAUUAAUAUUCAACAGCAUAGUAAAUUGCUCAAAAGCAAAAAAAAAAAAAAUUAAGUUCAUUAGACCACAUUUAUUCUGUGUCAGAAACCUAUGAUGUGUCAACUAUUUAAUCACAAUCCAAAUUCAGAGCUGUAUUCAGCUUGAAUGUUGUGUCCAUACUUGCCUCAACCUUCAGGGUUCGACCUCUGCAGUCGUAUAAAGCUGCACCCUGCGGAGUAUCUGGUUAAAUUGGUCACAUGCCAUACAUAUUAUAUACACAGGUAAUGUGUAGUACACAUGCAUGAAUAGAGUUAGUUUUCAUUAUUUAAAAAAAAAAGGAAAAUAUGUAGUAUCAUUGCCAAUGAGACAACUAUUCAUCAGGUCAAAAUGACUGAAUGUUAGCAACUAAAGAUCACUUUACAUGUAUGUACAACUUUCAACAAUGAGCAAAACCAGUACAGCAUCAAGCAAGCUAUGUCCUGGAAUGACAGAUGUAAAACAAUUCCAAAGAGAAAAUUAAGGGCCUGAUUUACAUAAAAGCGAAAAAAACAACCAUGAUAAAUACAUGUUAGCAAAAACAACAACUAUUAUUUCUCCACUCCAGUUGUUCACACGAUAUUUAUGUAUAUAUAUAUAUGUAAGUUUGGUAAAUCAUUACUUAUCAAAUUUAUGUUAUCAUUUUUGCUUGAUUGGUAAGCCAAUAUUUUAUGGUUGGUUAUUUUUUUUUUUUUAAUUACAGCAACUGUAUUCCAAGAGUCUGAUGGCUGAUAAUGUAUUACAGGAUUUUAUCAUUCAAGCAACAUCUUAGAAGGAUAAGUGCAAAUGUAUGAAGGAAGCCGUGGGUACAAAUAGCAAUUACAGCAGAUACAUGCAGGAGAGAACUCUUAAACAAAGACAUGAUAUGGGAGUGAUGUAUUCAAGAAAUCUCAAACACAUGGAAUUAAAUAUUGUGUAUAUUUUUUCAAACACAAGUACUUUCAGAAUAUAAUACAAUCAUGACAAUUCAAAUUCAAAUUAUUGUUUAUAGUCUAAAAAUGAAUAAUGCAUGUUUUAAACUGAAUUUUAUAUAAAUAUUUGAAAGAACAAGA
This 2614-nucleotide long non-coding RNA is filed under the name Mytilus galloprovincialis (Mediterranean mussel). Lineage: Eukaryota; Metazoa; Mollusca; Bivalvia; Mytilida; Mytilidae. The record is from RNAcentral.